This 383-nucleotide ribosomal RNA is filed under the name uncultured bacterium. RNAcentral's name for it is "bacterial SSU rRNA". It matches the Rfam family "Bacterial small subunit ribosomal RNA", at positions 28 to 417 of the family's 1533-position model. The record is from RNAcentral.
GACGAACGCUGGCGGCGUGCUUAACACAUGCAAGUCGAGCGCUGAAGCCUUUCGGGGUGGAUGAGCGGCGAACGGGUGAGUAACACGUGGGUGACCUGCCCUCAGCUCUGGGAUAAGCCUGGGAAACUGGGUCUAAUACCGGAUAUGACCUUUCCUCGCAUGGGGUUUGGUGGAAAGUUUUUCGGCUGGGGAUGGGCCCGCGGCCUAUCAGCUUGUUGGUGGGGUGAUGGCCUACCAAGGCGACGACGGGUAGCCGGCCUGAGAGGGCGUCCGGCCACACUGGACUGAGACACGGCCCAGACUCCUACGGGAGGCAGCAGUGGGGAAUAUUGCGCAAUGGGCGGAAGCCUGACGCAGCGACGCCGCGUGGGGGAUGACGGCCU